This 1476-nucleotide long non-coding RNA is filed under the name Sus scrofa (pig). RNAcentral describes it as "lncRNA (ENSSSCG00040070021.1)". Lineage: Eukaryota; Metazoa; Chordata; Mammalia; Artiodactyla; Suidae. The record is from RNAcentral.
GGCAGAGGGUGGGAGGAGACGGGCUGGCCGAGGGGCAGAGAAAAGGCAGGAAGGAAGCUGAUAUAAAAAAAAAAAAAUCUAUCUUGAGAAACAAUUCCUCUCCAUCUUUAAACCUAUGAAACUCAAAAAAUAAAAUCUGCUCUUGAAAUCUAAUGAUUAGACAGGCAUAGAAUACCAGUUAUAGACAUUCUGGCUAAAAGGGGAGAAAAUUUAAAGGAAAAAAGAAGUCACUAGUUCAAAAUAUUUUCAAAAUUCAGCUGUUUAAACUUCCUUUGUAUUACAUAAAAUUAAUUAUUAUUAUAUAAAUAUUAUUUUAUUUAAUGAUGGGAUUAUAGUAUUUCUUUGUGUGUGUAAUAAAACUUGAAACAACCUUACAACAAAUUUAAUUGCUUAAUCCUUACCUUCCUCUGAGUUAACCUGACAAGUAAACUUUGAUUGGUUUUUUCUAUAAGUAUUUUAGACAUUAAGUUGCCACAUAUUACAUGUUUAUUUUGGUUUAGCUGUGUGUUCCUGGGAUCAAUCUAGCACCAGCUUUCUUUACUGAUAUCUGACUAAAUAUUCUCAGAAUUGGAUNAUGUUAAAUCUUUUUUUUUUUUUUUUUUUUUUUUUUUUUUUUUGUCUUUUUAGGCCACAGGCUGGGGUCGAAUCGGAGCUGUUGCUGCUGGCCUACGCUAGAGCCACAGCAAGGCCAGAUCUAGCCAUGUCACGGCAACACCUGAUCCUUAAACCUACUGAGCAUGGCCAGGGAUUGAACCCUCAAUCUCAUGGUUCUAGUUGGAUUCGUUUCCUCUGUGCCACGACAGGAACUCCAGAAUUGGAUACCUUUAAUAUCUUCAUGGAAACUUCAUUUUGGCCUUUUGUCAAGAUGUAUGCGCAAUUGUUCUUUUAGGACUCUGUUCAGCCCACAGAUGUCUCCACAGCUGCUCUCUGUUCCAAAGGGGAUUUUUUUUUUCCCUUAGAAGCAGUCAUGUAAGGCUUUUUUUGUUGUUUUGUUUUGCAUUUAUUUUAUUUUUAUUUAAAACAUGGCAAAGAUGUUUCCCUCCAUUGGGGGAAAAAAUCUAUCUUACCCAAAAGAUGGCCUUGAGAACGGCAUCAAGAAUGAUCUGAAAACAAAGCACACUCGCUGUGUUUCUGUUCAUUCUUGGAAUCUCACUAAAUUUUGUGUAUACUGGAGGCCCAAGAACUGUAACCGUUCAAGAGUAGAAUCUCCUUCCUCCGUUUUUUGUGACUGACUUGGUAUUUGAGACAAUGCAAAAACUGUCACAGUUCAUUCAGUGCAGAAAGAAAAAAAUCAGUCAGAUAAAUGCAUAGUUGAGGCAAAAUUGCCAAUUUGAGAACAGCUUGAGGUUUAGGGGGAGCAAGUAAUUCAAACUGCUGCCUAUGUUUCCUGCAUCCACUAGGCUCAAGGAUGUUCUGAUUUUCUUUGUGUUAUAGGAGGAUCACAUGAUUCAAUAAAGUGAACCUGUGAUUAUGGCA